Molecule: non-coding RNA, 206 nt
Filed under: unclassified sequences
Description: raiA RNA
Rfam family: raiA RNA
Source: Rfam by way of RNAcentral
AAGGUUGGGGUCUGUGGUUGAAAGCCGAUGCCAGUCGCAGGCGAAACGGUCCACGUAAGCUGGGGAAAUUCUCAGUGAGCACGGUGCGGUUUAGACGUAAGCCCGGCCGGACGAAAAGUUCGAGAGAGCGGCGUGGGGGCCAUGAUGGCUAUGAGCAAUGCUCCUGCCGGCGAAUGUGGGGUCAAAAACCAGGUCAGCCAAAUCUU